RNAcentral lists this ribosomal RNA (306 nucleotides) under uncultured bacterium. Its description in RNAcentral is "partial 16S ribosomal RNA". It matches the Rfam family "Bacterial small subunit ribosomal RNA", at positions 507 to 807 of the family's 1533-position model. The record is from RNAcentral.
GACAGCAGCCGCCGCGGUAAUACGGAGGGUGCAAGCGUUAAUCGGAAUUACUGGGCGUAAAGCGCACGCAGGCGGUCUGACAAGUCAGAUGUGAAAUCCCCGGGCUUAACCUGGGAACUGCAUUUGAAACUGUCAGGCUGGAGUCUUGUAGAGGGGGGUGGAAUUCCAGGUGUAGCGGUGAAAUGCGUAGAGAUCUGGAGGAAUACCGGUGGCGAAGGCGGCCCCCUGGACAAAGACUGACGCUCAGGUGCGAAAGCGUGGGGAGCAAACAGGAUUAGAUACCCGCGUAGUCCCUGUCUCUUAUAC